RNAcentral lists this long non-coding RNA (1710 nucleotides) under Panax ginseng (ginseng). Its description in RNAcentral is "long non-coding RNA (PGIN_LNC018713)". Lineage: Eukaryota; Viridiplantae; Streptophyta; Magnoliopsida; Apiales; Araliaceae. The record is from RNAcentral.
UGGCAUCAUAAAUAUUUUUUUUCUUCUGAAAACUGAGAGCUUGAGCACAGAAUCAUCCAGCUGCAAACAGUUAUCCCUCACACAUCGUCUCCAACCUCCACUCAACUUACCAGCCACCAAUCUGACUUCCCAUGAAUUAUCCAAGGCCUCAAUCCUCACUUUCCUAAUACCCCUUUUCAUAUGCGUUGACAAACUUGUAGGCAAAUUCUGCACAUAUAUAAACCAAUACAUAAAUUGUCACUACUUUUUAUUGAACGUAUACAGAAUGUAUUAUUAUGUAACUAACAUGCAUUACAUAGAAAUGUAUUAGUAAUUUUGGAAGGUGUUGCAGAAAUUCCUAUAUUAAUUAGAAAAAAAUUGUACGUUUGGACGUUCAUACCAGGAAUCCCUUUAGCAAAUAAGUUGGCCGCAUCGCACUUUUGAAUGAAGGAUACUUGGAUUUGGACAAAAAUUUAGUGGCUGCUUCAAUUGCUUUGUCGGCUUCGCUUGCCAACCGCAAUCCACGGACUCCUUUUCCUGGAAAAUCACAUGAAAGAAAUCAAAGUGUGUAUCCAUUGUUUGUUAGAGGAGAACAAACUGCAAAAGUUUUCCUUGCCUUUGGCUAAUUCUUGCAUUGAACCAUGUGAAUCUAGGUCCUCCUCUAACUUUAUAGGAUUCAUCCUAUUAUGUUGAACGCAAGUAGAUUGAAAUGGGGAAAAUUUGGCUUGCGCAUUUUAAUCUAUUUUUCCCACAUUAAGGUUGGCUUGUUCAAUAUGAGCGUCACUCAUUGGAUAUUCUACCUCGGAAGCACUUUUGUCCAAUAUAAUUACAUGGAAAAGGGAAUUCCCUUCGUAUCCAAACACUAAAACGUGCCCAAAACAUAUAGAGUAGUAUGUCGAGAAUUCCUGCCAGCCAUUGUGUAGCCAAACCUCGCUAUUUUUCCUUUCCAGUUCCACUUGCCAAAAUGCACCAUUUGGAGCUUUGAGGAAAACACGAUCCGCUAGGUUCUUUCCGUAUUUCCUUACAAACUUUUUGGGAAUCAUCUGUAAAAAUAAGCCCAAAAAAAUUCCAAAUUAAAGACUCAGGUACUUACUAUGGAGUACUAAAAACUCUUGCUUGCUUGCUGCCAUAACUUAAUGUAUUCUAGACUAGUUGUAAUGGAUGGCUUCGCUCACUCCUUAGCUUCUUGAUCAAAUCCAACCUAACCAAGAAGCCAAAGUUGUUCAGGGCAGGUAAGCCCCGAAGCAGUACCAUAAUAUACAGGUUUAUAACCUAUUAUUAAUUGUAUAUAUACAAGUUUGAAGAAAAAUGUGCAGGGAAUUCAUCAUACAAAUGGGGUGGUGUUCAGUCCCAAUUACUGAUCAGUUCUUAAGGGUUCCGACCAUCAAUAAAAAUCCAACUUUUCUUUCCCUUGUCCACAAAUUUUAAGUUUUUGUUUUUGUUGAUCAUAAGAUACUAAGCCAAAACAAUACAUGGGCCGAUCCCUAUUUGUUAACUAGGAAUCUAUUACUUCAUUUUUUUGGGAUCAUAAACUAAAACCCUUGAGUUUGCAAUCGAGUAAACAGAAAAAUUCAUUGGUUUUUAAACAUCAAAAAAUUCAAUGGUUUCUAAACAAAUCAAAAGCAGCUUCCCAGAUUCUUGUCGUCUCUUUCUCAAUUAUUUAAACAUGUACAAUAGCAUACAUACAUAUAUAUAAGGUUGGCAAAUACAUACCAUCUUACUAUCUGAAAC